This 46-nucleotide non-coding RNA is filed under the name unclassified sequences. RNAcentral's name for it is "chromate-resist RNA". It matches the Rfam family "chrB-b RNA". The record is from RNAcentral.
UCGGGACCAAGCAACCUCCCGAUCAGGCUUCCGGCCCAAGCGUUGC